AGUGAACGCUGGCGGUAGGCCUAACACAUGCAAGUCGAACGGCAGCACAGUAAGAGCUUGCUCUUACGGGUGGCGAGUGGCGGACGGGUGAGGAAUACAUCGGAAUCUACUUUUUCGUGGGGGAUAACGUAGGGAAACUUACGCUAAUACCGCAUACGACCUACGGGUGAAAGCAGGGAAUCUUCGGACCUUGCGCGAUUGAAUGAGCCGAUGUCGGAUUAGCUAGUUGGCGGGGUAAAGGCCCACCAAGGCGACGAUCCGUAGCUGGUCUGAGAGGAUGAUCAGCCACAUGGGAACGGAGACACGGUCCAUACUCCUACGGGAGGCAGCAGUGUGGAACAUUGGACAAUGGGCGCAAGCCUGAUCCAGCCAUACCGCGUGGGUUAAGAAGGCCUUCGGGUUGUAAAGCCCUUUUGUUGGGAAAGAAAAGCAGCAGGUUAAUACCCCGCUGUUCUGACGGUACCCAAAGAAUAAGCACCGGCUAACUUCGUG
RNAcentral lists this ribosomal RNA (492 nucleotides) under uncultured bacterium. RNAcentral's name for it is "partial 16S ribosomal RNA". It matches the Rfam family "Bacterial small subunit ribosomal RNA", at positions 29 to 507 of the family's 1533-position model. The record is from RNAcentral.